RNAcentral lists this ribosomal RNA (274 nucleotides) under uncultured bacterium. RNAcentral describes it as "partial 16S ribosomal RNA". It matches the Rfam family "Bacterial small subunit ribosomal RNA", at positions 523 to 796 of the family's 1533-position model. The record is from RNAcentral.
AUACGGAGGGUGCAAGCGUUGUUCGGAUUUAUUGGGCGUAAAGCGAGUGUAGGCGGUUUGACAAGUCGAAUGUGAAAUCCCGAGGCCCAACCUCGGAACUGCAUCCGAAACUGUCAGGCUAGAGUCCCGGAGAGGAUGGCGGAAUUCCCGGUGUAGGGGUGAAAUCCGUAGAUAUCGGGAGGAACACCAGUGGCGAAGGCGGCCAUCUGGACGGUGUCUGACGCUGAGACUCGAAAGUGUGGGUAGCAAACAGGAUUAGAAACCCCAGUAGUCC